Molecule: ribosomal RNA, 981 nt
Filed under: Pararoussoella lincangensis
Lineage: Eukaryota; Fungi; Ascomycota; Dothideomycetes; Pleosporales; Thyridariaceae
Description: SSU rRNA
Rfam family: Eukaryotic small subunit ribosomal RNA
Source: RNAcentral
CUCAUUAAAUCAGUUAUCGUUUAUUUGAUAGUACCUUACUACUUGGAUACCCGUGGUAAUUCUAGAGCUAAUACAUGCAAAAAACCCCGACUUCGGGAGGGGUGUAUUUAUUAGAUAAAAAACCAAUGCCCUUCGGGGCUCUUUGGUGAUUCAUGAUAACUUAACGGAUCGCAUGGCCUUGCGCCGGCGACGGUUCAUUCAAAUUUCUGCCCUAUCAACUUUCGAUGGUAAGGUAUUGGCUUACCAUGGUUUCAACGGGUAACGGAUUUUUAGGGAAAGAUCCCGGAGAGGGAGCCUGAGAAACGGCUACCACAUCCAAGGAAGGCAGCAGGCGCGCAAAUUACCCAAUCCCGACACGGGGAGGUAGUGACAAUAAAUACUGAUACAGGGCUCUUUUGGGUCUUGUAAUCGGAAUGAGUACAAUUUAAAUACCUUAACGAGGAACAAUUGGAGGGCAAGUCUGGUGCCAGCAGCCGCGGUAAUUCCAGCUCCAAUAGCGUAUAUUAAAGUUGUUGCAGUUAAAAAGCUCGUAGUUGAACCUUGGGCCUGGCUGGCCGGUCCGCCUCACCGCGUGUACUGGUCCGGCCGGGCCUUUCCUUCUGGAGAACCGCAUGCCCUUCACUGGGUGUGUCGGGGAACCAGGACUUUUACUUUGAGAAAAUUAGAGUGUUCAAAGCAGGCCUUUGCUCGAAUACGUUAGCAUGGAAUAAUAGAAUAGGACGUGCGGUCCUAUUUUGUUGGUUUCUAGAACCGCCGUAAUGAUUAAUAGGGAUAGUCGGGGGCGUCAGUAUUCAAUUGUCAGAGGUGAAAUUCUUGGAUCUAUUGAAGACUAACUACUGCGAAAGCAUUCGCCAAGGAUGUUUUCAUUAAUCAGUGAACGAAAGUUAGGGGAUCGAAGACGAUCAGAUACCGUCGUAGUCUUAACCGUAAACUAUGCCGACUAGGGAUCGGGCGAUGUUUCUAUAUUGACUCGCUCGGCAC